Molecule: long non-coding RNA, 2125 nt
Organism: Daphnia pulex (common water flea)
Lineage: Eukaryota; Metazoa; Arthropoda; Branchiopoda; Diplostraca; Daphniidae
Exons: 8
Source: RefSeq, a predicted model, not a curated record
GUGAGAUCGGGACCUUUUGCAGCAUUAUCAAGAAGUUGAUAGGUAUCAGUCGAGUGAGCAUCUCCGACACGGCAACAACUCUAGUGCACUUUUUGCCAUCAGCUAUCUGCCAUCAUUUGUUCUCAAUCAUGGUUGUAUUUAAGGACAAAGAAAAGGCGAAAGAAAUCAGUCGAGUGAGCAUCUCCGAUAUGCACGAGCUGUAGUGCGCCACUCGUCACCAACUGCAUUCUUCGUCGGAAUUGCUAGUUUUAAAUCAUGGUAAACUUUGGCGUCGUGCUGCUGUUGAGUGUUGUAUAGCUGACCGCUGGUUCAGCCAUGGUGUACCAAUGUCUCCUGGGUAUGGCGGAUAACAAAUCGCAACGCCACCACCUUACUACACAACAUACGACACGACCAGUUUCUACACCAAGGCCCCCAAGUACUACACCACCAAAGCUCGAUAUUAUUAUACCACAACUUAUGCCGCCCUGAGCUACUAAACCGAAGCCCCGAAGUAUUAUUUUUCCCCGAGCUACACUACCAGAGGUUUGAGUACUACACCGAUGCUCCGAAGUACUACACCACCAAGGCACCGGAGUGCUACACCACUACAUAUCAUGGUCGUAUGACAGGAGAGAAAAGGUGAAAGAAUUCAGCAGCCUAGUGAGCAUCUCCGCUACAGCAACAGGAACUGCCGUGCACUAGUUGUCAUCAACUUCAUUCUUCGUCGCAUUAAAAGUUUUAAAUAAAGUUAUAACUAUGGCGUCGUGCUGCUGUUGGGUGUCGUAUCGUUUAUUGCUGGGUCGACCACUGGUGUACCGAUGUCUCCUGGGUAUGGCGGGAACCAAAGCACACUACUGCCGUGCCGUCUUACUAUUUAGCAUCAACUUCCGCUGCUCCAGCUUACUACACUGAGGUUUACAAGUGCUACACCACCAUGGAUCCAGAGUAUUACACCACAGCUCAUGUUGCCCCGACCUACUACGCUGAAUGCCCGAAGUAUUUUUCUUCCCCGAGCUACACUACCAAAGGGUCGAGAACUACGUCGAGGUUCCAAGUACUACAUCACCAAGGCACCGGAGCACAAAAACGGUUGAAUACUACACAGAAGCUAUCAUGGGAAACUAUGGUGUCGUGCUGCUGUGAGUGUUGUAAUCAUGAUGGCUGGAUUGACCACUGGUGUGCCGAUAUCUCCUGGGUAUGGUGGGCAUCAACAACAACAUACGCAACAACCGCUUACUACACUGGGACCUGCAAGUGCCAAACCGCCAAGGCUUCAGAGUAUUACACCACAGUUUAUGUUGGCACGAGCUACUACGCAGAAGCUCCGGAAUAAUUUUCUUCCCCGCUUCACUACCUUCACCCCGCUUCACUACCUUCACCACGCCGCCUCUUUACUAAACAACAACAACAACGUCGUCAACACCUACUUACUAAACGAACGCCUCCAAGUACUACGCCAUAAAGGCUUCGACUACCACACCGAGGGUCAACUUGUUACACCGCCGAAGCGCUCAAGUACUGCACUACAACCUACAUUUCACGAAGACACCGUAGUACUCCAUCACGAAGGCACCGGCACGUUAAACCGAGGCUCCAGUUUACUACACUGUAACCUACGCUGCUCCAAAGUACUACACCGACAAGGCAUCCGAGUAUGACACCACUACUUACGCUACUACCACCUACUACACCCAAGCUCCGAAAGCACUACUCUGCCCCGAGUUACUACACCACUAAGGCAGCCGAAUUUUACACCACAAACUACGAUUCCGCAAUUCGGUCACUUUCAUGGUCAUUGGUCACUGGAAAUUAAUUGUUGAUCUUUGAUGAGAAAAUAAUGUUUUAAUGCUGGUAGUUCUUUUGGAAGACUUUUGGUAGUAGCUUCAAGCCUGUCAACAUUGCGACAGUUGUCUAUUGGUGUUGUAUUUCUUCAAGGCCAGUAUGCUAAGUUGUCAAUUGUUUGUCUAAUGUUUUAGAGGUUUCCACUGCCUUAGUCACUCUGUAUACGGACAUGUUCUUGUUAUUCGACGACGAUGAUGAUUCAAGGGUAAGUUACGAAAGAGACUUGUAACUGGUGAUUUUUCAAAUCUUAUAAAUAAUAGGCAAAUGGCUGACUUUUGUAUGAAUAAAGACUUUGAAGUUA